GAUGAGAACGUAGCGAAAUGCGAUAAGUAAUGUGAAUUGCAGAAUUCAGUGAAUCAUCGAAUCUUUGAACGCACAUUGCGCCCGCCAGUAUUCUGGCGGGCAUGCCUGUUCGAGCGUCAUUUCAACCAUCAAGCCCUGCUUGCGUUGGGGUCCUGCGGCUGCCCGCAGGCCCUGAAAACCAGUGGCGGGCUCGCUAGUCACACCGAGCGCAGUAAUACAUCUCGCUUUGGGCGUGCGGCGGGUUCUUGCCGUUAAACACCCCCUUUUUACCAAGGUUGACCUCGGAUCAGGUAGGAAUACCCGCUGAACUUAAGCAUAUCAAUAAGCGGAGGA
RNAcentral lists this unclassified non-coding RNA (333 nucleotides) under soil metagenome. RNAcentral describes it as "partial contains 5.8S ribosomal RNA, internal transcribed spacer 2, and large subunit ribosomal RNA". The stretch from base 5 to 119 matches the Rfam family "5.8S ribosomal RNA", at positions 40 to 154 of the family's 154-position model. The record is from RNAcentral.